RNAcentral lists this ribosomal RNA (483 nucleotides) under uncultured bacterium. RNAcentral describes it as "partial 16S ribosomal RNA". It matches the Rfam family "Bacterial small subunit ribosomal RNA", at positions 30 to 507 of the family's 1533-position model. The record is from RNAcentral.
UUGAACGCUGGCGGCAGGCCUAACACAUGCCAGUCGAGCGGAUGAAGGGAGCUUGCUCCUGGCUUCAGCGGCGGACGGGUGAGUAAUGCCUAGGAAUCUGCCUGGUAGUGGGGGAUAACGUCCGGAAACGGGCGCUAAUACCGCAUACGUCCUGAGGGAGAAAGUGGGGGAUCUUCGGACCUCACGCUAUCAGAUGAGCCUAGGUCGGAUUAGCUAGUUGGUGGGGUAAAGGCCUACCAAGGCGACGAUCCGUAACUGGUCUGAGAGGAUGAUCAGUCACACUGGAACUGAGACACGGUCCAGACUCCUACGGGAGGCAGCAGUGGGGAAUAUUGGACAAUGGGCGAAAGCCUGAUCCAGCCAUGCCGCGUGUGUGAAGAAGGUCUUCGGAUUGUAAAGCACUUUAAGUUGGGAGGAAGGGCAGUAAGUUAAUACCUUGCUGUUUUGACGUUACCAACAGAAUAAGCACCGGCUAACUUCGUG